AAAUUGAAGAGUUUGAUCAUGGCUCAGAUUGAACGCUGGCGGCAGGCCUAACACAUGCAAGUCGAACGGUAACAGGAAUCAGCUUGCUGAUUCGCUGACGAGUGGCGGACGGGUGAGUAAUGUCUGGGAAACUGCCUGAUGGAGGGGGAUAACUACUGGAAACGGUAGCUAAUACCGCAUAACGUCGCAAGACCAAAGAGGGGGACCUUCGAGCCUCUUGCCAUCGGAUGUGCCCAGAUGGGAUUAGCUAGUAGGUGGGGUAACGGCUCACCUAGGCGACGAUCCCUAGCUGGUCUGAGAGGAUGACCAGCCACACUGGAACUGAGACACGGUCCAGACUCCUACGGGAGGCAGCAGUGGGGAAUAUUGCACAAUGGGCGCAAGCCUGAUGCAGCCAUGCCGCGUGUAUGAAGAAGGCCUUCGGGUUGUAAAGUACUUUCAGCGGGGAGGAAGGGAGUAAAGUUAAUACCUUU
RNAcentral lists this ribosomal RNA (473 nucleotides) under Escherichia coli. RNAcentral describes it as "bacterial SSU rRNA". It matches the Rfam family "Bacterial small subunit ribosomal RNA", at positions 1 to 470 of the family's 1533-position model. Lineage: Bacteria; Pseudomonadati; Pseudomonadota; Gammaproteobacteria; Enterobacterales; Enterobacteriaceae. The record is from RNAcentral.